UCCUACGGGAGGCAGCAGUGGGGAAUAUUGGACAAUGGGCGCAAGCCUGAUCCAGCAAUGCCGCGUGUGUGAAGAAGGCCUGCGGGUUGUAAAGCACUUUCAGUAGAGAAGAAAAGCUUAAGGUUAAUACCCUUGAGUCUUGACGUUACCUACAGAAGAAGCACCGGCUAACUCCGUGCCAGCAGCCGCGGUAAUACGGAGGGUGCGAGCGUUAAUCGGAAUUACUGGGCGUAAAGCGCGCGUAGGCGGCUUGGUCAGUCGGAUGUGAAAGCCCCGGGCUUAACCUGGGAAUUGCAUUCGAUACUGCCGAACUAGAGUAUGGGAGAGGGAAGUGGAAUUUCCGGUGUAGCGGUGAAAUGCGUAGAUAUCGGAAGGAACACCAGUGGCGAAGGCGACUUCCUGGCCCAAUACUGACGCUGAGGUGCGAAAGCGUGGGUAGCGAACAGGAUUAGAUACCCUGGUAGUCCACGCCGUAAACGAUGAGAACUAGAUGUCGGGAAGAUUUACUUCUCGGUGUCGCAGCUAACGCGUUAAGUUCUCCGCCUGGGGAGUACGGUGGCAACACUAAAACUCAAAUGAAUUGACGG
RNAcentral lists this ribosomal RNA (587 nucleotides) under uncultured bacterium. Its description in RNAcentral is "bacterial SSU rRNA". It matches the Rfam family "Bacterial small subunit ribosomal RNA", at positions 337 to 916 of the family's 1533-position model. The record is from RNAcentral.